ACGGCUGCUCAGUGACACGUAGUCAACUUACCCUAUGGACGAGGAUAAUCUCGGGAAACUGAGCAUAAUACUCGAUAGAUCAUAAUGCCUGGAAUGGUUUAUGGUUGAAAUGAUUCAUCGCCAUAGGAUGGGACUGCGGCCUAUCAGCUUGUUGGUGAGGUAAUGGCCCACCAGGGCGAUUACAGGUACGGGCUCUGAGAGGAGAAGCCCGGAGAUGGGUACUGAGACAAGGACCCAGGCCCUAUGGGGCGCAGCAGGCGAGAAAACUUUGCAAUGUGCGAAAGCACGACAAGGUUAAUCCGAGUGAUUUCUGCUAAAGAAAUCUUUUGCAAGUCAUAAAACCACUAGUGAAUAAGGGGUGGGCAAGUUCUGGUGUCAGCCGCCGCGGUAAAACCAGCACCUCAAGUGGUCAGGAGGAUUAUUGGGCCUAAAGCAUCCGUAGCCGGCUCUGUAAGUUUUCGGUUAAAUCCAUGUGCUCAACGCAUGGGCUGCCGAAAAUACUGCAUAGCUAGGGAGUGGGAGAGGUAGACGGUACUCGGUAGGAAGGGGUAAAAUCCUUUGAUCUAUCGAUGACCACCUGUGGCGAAGGCGGUCUACCAGAACACGUUCGACGGUGAGGGAUGAAAAGCUGGGGGAGCAAACCGGAUUAGAUACCCGGGUAGUCCCAGCUGUAAACGAUGCAGACUCGAUGAUGCAUUGGCAUAUAGCCAGUGCAGUGUCGCAUGGAAGCCGUUAUGUCUGCCGCCUGGGAAGUACGUUCGCAAGUAUGAAACUUAAAGGAAUUGUCUGGGGAGCAGAAU
RNAcentral lists this ribosomal RNA (800 nucleotides) under uncultured marine thaumarchaeote. RNAcentral's name for it is "bacterial SSU rRNA". It matches the Rfam family "Archaeal small subunit ribosomal RNA", at positions 82 to 882 of the family's 1478-position model. Lineage: Archaea; Thermoproteati; Nitrososphaerota. The record is from RNAcentral.